AGUACGUCACUCGUACGCCACGUGUCACGAUCACAUUCGUCCAGCUACCGAUCAACCGUCUGCCCGAAGUCAAGCAAGCCGUCUCUGAGUCAACAACCCGCGUAUUCUCCACCUUCCUGGAAACCAUUUUCUCUGAUUAAAUCCAACGGCCCAUGUUCACUCCUAGAUAUAUAUAUACAUCCAAAACCACCCUCGUUCUUCCCAUUCAUCUAUUCUCAUUUCAAUCUCCCUUCGUUUCUUCUCCUAACUUUCUUUGAUUUCUCCAUUCUUCCUUAAGAUUUUAGAAAAUGAACUCCAUGAGACUGCACGCCCUCUUCCUUGCGGUUUUCUUCUUGUUGGCAAUCUUGCAUCUGGGCCAUGGACAAGGGAUGGCCCCUUCGCCCCUUCCAAUGAGCGACGGCAAGACAAUUGAUCAAGGGAUUGCUUACAUCCUCCUACUUGUGGCCCUGGCCAUCACCUAUCUCAUCCAUUGAUUUUGCUCCACUGAGACACCACAUUCGCCAGAUUCUUUAUGCAUUUCUCUCAUCUUUGUUAGGAGGAAUUCUCACAUCUUGUAUUGAUAUUGUUCAUACCAAUAAAAUCAUCAUUUAUUCUAA
Molecule: long non-coding RNA, 596 nt
Organism: Magnolia sinica
Lineage: Eukaryota; Viridiplantae; Streptophyta; Magnoliopsida; Magnoliales; Magnoliaceae
Exons: 2
Source: RefSeq, a predicted model, not a curated record